GACGAACGCUGGCGGCGUGCUUAACACAUGCAAGUCGAACGGAAAGGCCCUGCUUUUGUGGGGUGCUCGAGUGGCGAACGGAUGAGUAACACGUGAGUAACCUGCCCUUGACUUUGGGAUAACUUCAGGAAACUGGGGCUAAUACCGGAUAGGAGCUCCUGCUGCAUGGUGGGGGUUGGAAAGUUUCGGCGGUUGGGGAUGGACUCGCGGCUUAUCAGCUUGUUGGUGGGGUAGUGGCUUACCAAGGCCUUGACGGGUAGCCGGCCUGAGAGGGUGACCGGCCACAUUGGGACUGAGAUACGGCCCAGACUCCUACGGGAGGCAGCAGUGGGGAAUAUUGCACAAUGGGCGGAAGCCUGAUGCAGCAACGCCGCGUGCGGGAUGACGGCCUUCGGGUUGUAAACCGCUUUCGCCUGUGACGAAGCGUGAGUGACGGUAAUGGGUAAAGAAGCACCGGCUAACUACGUG
Molecule: ribosomal RNA, 468 nt
Filed under: uncultured bacterium
Lineage: Bacteria
Description: partial 16S ribosomal RNA
Rfam family: Bacterial small subunit ribosomal RNA
Source: RNAcentral